Molecule: ribosomal RNA, 253 nt
Filed under: uncultured bacterium
Lineage: Bacteria
Description: partial 16S ribosomal RNA
Rfam family: Bacterial small subunit ribosomal RNA
Source: RNAcentral
UACAGAGGUCCCGAGCGUUGUUCGGAUUUAUUGGGCGUAAAGGGUGCGUAGGCGGCGGAGUAAGUUGGGUGUGAAAUCCCGGGGCUUAACCUCGGAAUUGCAUUCAAUACUGCUUCGCUCGAGUACUGGAGAGGAGGCUGGAAUUUACAGUGUAGCAGUGAAAUGCGUAGAUAUCGUAAGGAAGGCCGGUGGCGAAAGCGAGCCUCUGGACAGUUACUGACGCUGAUGCACGAAGGCCAGGGGAGCAAACGGG